UACGGGAGGCAGCAGUGGGGAAUAUUGCACAAUGGGCGAAAGCCUGAUGCAGCUAUGCCGCGUGUAUGAAGAAGGCCUUAGGGUUGUAAAGUACUUUCAUCGGGGAGGAAAAAACAAAACUAAUAAUUUUAUUUCUUGACGUUACCCGAAAAAGAAGCACCGGCUAACUCCGUGCCAGCAGCCGCGGUAAUACGGAGGGUGCUAGCGUUAAUCAGAAUUACUGGGCGUAAAGAGCACGUAGGUGGUUUUUUUAAAGUUAGAUGUGAAAUCCCUGGGCUUAACCUGGAACUGCAUUUUGAAACUGAAAUACUAGAGUAUCGUAGAGGGAGGUAGAAUUCUAGGUGUAGCGGUGAAAUGCGUAGAUAUCUGGAGGAAUACCUGUGGCGAAAGCGGCCUCCUAAACGAAUACUGACACUGAGGUGCGAAAGCGUGGGGAGCAAACAGGGAUUAGAUACCCGU
RNAcentral lists this ribosomal RNA (459 nucleotides) under uncultured bacterium. RNAcentral describes it as "bacterial SSU rRNA". It matches the Rfam family "Bacterial small subunit ribosomal RNA", at positions 340 to 789 of the family's 1533-position model. The record is from RNAcentral.